CCCUUAGAGUUUGAUCCUGGCUCAGAUUGAACGCUGGCGGCAUGCCUUACACAUGCAAGUCGAACGCGAAAGCGGGGCAACCCGCAAGUAGAGUGGCGAACGGGUGAGUAAUACAUCGGAACGUGUCCAGUAGCGGGGGAUAACCUCUCGAAAGAGAGGCUAAUACCGCAUACGACCUACGGGUGAAAGAGGGGGAUCGCAAGACCUCUCACUAUUGGAGCGGCCGAUGUCGGAUUAGCUAGUUGGUGGGGUAACGGCCUACCAAGGCAACGAUCCGUAGCUGGUCUGAGAGGACGGCCAGCCACACUGGAACUGAGACACGGUCCAGACUCCUACGGGAGGCAGCAGUGGGGAAUUUUGGACAAUGGGCGCAAGCCUGAUCCAGCCAUGCCGCGUGAGUGAAGAAGGCCUUCGGGUUGUAAAGCUCUUUCGGCGGGGACGAAACGGUCCGUAUUAACACUACGGAUCACUGACGGUACCCGCAGAAGAAGCACCGGCUAACUACGUGCCAGCAGCCGCGGUAAUACGUAGGGUGCAGGCGUUAAUCGGAAUUACUGGGCGUAAAGCGUGCGCAGGCGGUCUCUUAAGACAGGUGUGAAAUCCCCGGGCUUAACCUGGGAACUGCGCUUGUAACUGAGAGGCUUGAGUGCGGCAGAGGGGGGUGGAAUUCCACGUGUAGCAGUGAAAUGCGUAGAGAUGUGGAGGAACACCGAUGGCGAAGGCAGCCCCCUGGGUCGACACUGACGCUCAUGCACGAAAGCGUGGGGAGCAAACAGGAUUAGAUACCCUGGUAGUCCACGCCCUAAACUAUGUCAACUGGUUGUCGGGGAAG
This 832-nucleotide ribosomal RNA is filed under the name uncultured bacterium. RNAcentral describes it as "bacterial SSU rRNA". It matches the Rfam family "Bacterial small subunit ribosomal RNA", at positions 1 to 831 of the family's 1533-position model. The record is from RNAcentral.